ACCAGGUGCCAUCCCGCGCAUAUGCGGAAAUCAUCCUCUCUAUUGCUUUUUCUUCACCGCUAUCCCUUGGGCUUUACUCACCCUCUGUGAGUUCUACACUGAAAAACUGAAAAUGAGUUGUGAGGAUCACUCGACCGAUAUGUUAAAGGAAAUUGCUUUUAUGAAAUAUCUAUGACUAGUUGAGAAUUAUCUGUUAGGCACUGGGGCAAAAGAGCUCAAUCACCACCAGCGCCAUGCUGGUGUUGAGGGGGACGAAUCACCCAAUCCAAUCCCUCCAACCUUAACUAACUAUCCUUCACCGACUUACCUAAUGAUUCGCGCGACUCGCUAUAAACGGUGCUACGCAGUAGGAAAAAUCUAAGAGGCUCGCUUCAUUUCAGAUGAUAGCCAUAAUGACCUCUAUCAGAAUGCGCUUUCAAAACCCCUUCUCAGCCAUUAUACAUGAAGCAGCAGCAUGUAAACCUUUGCUCACGAAUUGCAGAUGUGGAAAGUGAAGUGGACUGAGGUACUGAAGUACCGCCGAUGACAUGCUUUGCAGUGAGAUUUUGAUAUCACACAUGGCGUAUCAAGCAUAUUGAAGAGUGGAGGAGAAAGGAAAAUCCUAUGGGUGCCUUGACAUGAGAGCUUGGCAUUCAUACCUCCGGGGGGUUAUUAGCCCUUAACUACAUGGAUAAAUGAUGGGCUAUCAUCAACUUCAGAGGUGGGGGUUCUGGUUGUGCAUUUCACCCUUCUAUGCUGCGAGGAAUACAGAUUGAGGAUACUACGGAGAAUGUAUAUAAAGCCUGAACAUUGUAUACUAGUAGUAAUUGUUUUAAAUACUAUUGAAGGAUAAAGGUCAACGGAUGCUCGUAUGCUCGAAGGUGACAAUGCUUUUUCCACCAGGCUAAAUUCUUAUUAGCAAGCAACGGCAA
RNAcentral lists this small RNA (911 nucleotides) under Histoplasma ohiense. RNAcentral describes it as "hypothetical lncRNA". Lineage: Eukaryota; Fungi; Ascomycota; Eurotiomycetes; Onygenales; Ajellomycetaceae. The record is from RNAcentral.